Long non-coding RNA from Canis lupus familiaris (dog), 714 nucleotides. RefSeq lists it as uncharacterized. The record is from RefSeq and is a predicted model, not a curated record. NCBI's taxonomy places the organism in Eukaryota, Metazoa, Chordata, Mammalia, Carnivora, Canidae. The transcript has 4 exons.
GUGAGGAGGGACUUGGCCCUCCAGGGGCUCUCAGGACCUGGAAGGAGGCGCAGGAACUGGUCUAGAGUGCUGCUGGCUCACGGGGGUUUCAGCCCCCAUGCCUCCUCAGGGUCUUAGGUCUACCAGGCAGUUCAUACAUCGCCUCCCACUUCACAGCAACUGCAAAGGAAGGUGCAGUGCCCUUUGUACAGACGGUAAAACCGAGGCUCGGGGUUUCUGACAUUUCUCCUGUGGAGUACUUUGCCGGAUCACAUGGAAGUGGCCUGGAGUGUGUAGCUGGAAAAAAGCAUCUUGAAGAAUUUGGAUACAUUUCCUCUCCUUUUGAGAGCCAGUGACAUGGAAACAAGUUGACUCUAGUGAAAAAGUGUUUACAAAGACUUUGGAUGCAAACAUGGCCUGAGGUCUUAGACGUGAGAAGAGCCUCACACUUGGAGGAAGGAUGGGUAGCUUCAACCAGCGGGAGACACAAGUAGAUUGGUAAAGAGGAAGAAGGCCGGUUGCCCUCUUGCUGUGGUGGCCCCCAGGUGGAGGCUCUUGUCUGCUGUUAUUGCUGGGGUUCUAGCUCCCUGGGCAGCCCCAGAUCCCAAACCAGCACCAGCCUCUUCUCUUGUCACCUCUCUACUCUUAGGAGUGGCAGCAGCUUCCACUGGGUUCACCUCUGGGUUGUCUGGCUUGGCAGUGCUCCAUCAGCUACAUAACCAACCUCCUGUAUUA